This 70-nucleotide transfer RNA is filed under the name Hylarana sp. 2 CDS-2013. Its description in RNAcentral is "tRNA-Val". Lineage: Eukaryota; Metazoa; Chordata; Amphibia; Anura; Ranidae. The record is from RNAcentral.
CAAGAUGUAGCUUAACUAAAGCCCCCCGCUUACGCCGAGAUGUUGUCUGUUUGACCCAGAUCAUUUUGAG